UGCUUAGUACGGCGAGUGAAGCGGCAAAAGCUCAAAUUUGAAAUCGGCCAUCAGGUCGAGUUGUAAUUUGUAGAUUGUACUUUGAGAGCGGAUUAAAGUCUGUUGGAACACAGCGCCUUAGAGGGUGACAGCCCCGUAAAAUCUAUUCUCAUUGUAAGGUACUUUCGAAGAGUCGAGUUGUUUGGGAAUGCAGCUCUAAGUGGGAGGUAAAUUCCUUCUAAAGCUAAAUAUUGACGAGAGACCGAUAGCGAACAAGUACUGUGAAGGAAAGAUGAAAAGCACUUUGAAAAGAGAGUGAAAAAGUACGUGAAAUUGUUAAAAGGGAAGGGUAUUGAAUCAGACGUGGUGCUGUUGUUCAACUUUGUUUCGGCAUGGUGUACUCAGCAGUACUAGGCCAAGGUGGGGUGUUUGGGAGUGAAAAAGGAAUAGGAACGUAGCUCUUCGGAGUGUUAUAAUCUAUUUUCAUAGCUCCUCAGGCGCCUCAGGACUGCGCUUCGGCAAGGACUUUGGCAUAAUGAUUCUAUACCGCCCGUCUUGA
RNAcentral lists this ribosomal RNA (538 nucleotides) under Geotrichum pseudocandidum. RNAcentral's name for it is "Galactomyces pseudocandidus partial 26S ribosomal RNA". It matches the Rfam family "Eukaryotic large subunit ribosomal RNA", at positions 76 to 657 of the family's 3401-position model. Lineage: Eukaryota; Fungi; Ascomycota; Dipodascomycetes; Dipodascales; Dipodascaceae. The record is from RNAcentral.